GGGCUUAUAGUGUCGCCCAGCAACUCAUAAUCCUUUGGUCCACGGUUCGAGUCCGUGUGGGCCCACCA
This 68-nucleotide transfer RNA is filed under the name Pseudomonas syringae ICMP 11292. RNAcentral's name for it is "tRNA-OTHER". RNAcentral also lists the same sequence under 1 other name. The record is from RNAcentral. Lineage: Bacteria; Pseudomonadati; Pseudomonadota; Gammaproteobacteria; Pseudomonadales; Pseudomonadaceae.